Molecule: long non-coding RNA, 2302 nt
Organism: Clupea harengus (Atlantic herring)
Lineage: Eukaryota; Metazoa; Chordata; Actinopteri; Clupeiformes; Clupeidae
Source: Ensembl
GGGGGGUUAGGGCAUAGUGGGUGGUCACCUCAGAGUUUUGGUACAGGCCAGUGAUAUCCCAUCAGCAAGUGCAGAGGAUUAACUUACUAUCUGAAUGCCUCCAGAUUCAAGUUAUAAAUAUCAUCAGAUGUGACUGACUGACAUGCAUCGCUGACUAUUGCCCAGAAGUGGCGUCUUCUGGUCUGGGACUGGCAUGGACUGCAGCCGCUGGCAGCGAGCACCAGAGAGAGAGGUGGGCGUGGUUUUCAAGGCUGACUUGGCGUGAGAAUCUGUGAGAUUGACCAAAACAGGUGUAUUUCUUGGCAUGAGAUGCAUUGAAGUCAAUGGAGUUUUUUUUUCCAUUGCUAGCAUGGGACAGGAGAUGAAAGCGUGUGUCUCACGCCAAAAGCGUGAGAGUUGGCAACCCUGGAUCCGAGUGUUCAAUCUGGUGAUCACCUGGCACAGAGUAGGUACACUCCCCAGCCAUUAACUUGUAGCGGGAGGUCACCAUCAUCAUCGUGGGAGAGAGACAAUUUCCUCCGCCAUGCUGUGGCUCUGGGAUGCUGUGGCCUGGGAUGCUGUGGCUCUGGGACGCCUGCCUGCUCGAGGUGGGCUUGACUUGACUCCCUGUCUGUCUGCCGCUGUCAGCGGCGGGUUGGAGAUGCUGUCUGAUGUGGCCUGUUCGCCCGAGGGUAAUGACAGAUAUGGCUACCAGCACCAGCGACCUGCUGUAAUUCAGCACUUUAUAAAUGUAGUUAUGCAACUAUAGAAACAUGAGAGAAAGAGAGAGAGAGAGUGAGAGAGAGAGAGUGAGAGAGAGAGGGGGAGAGAGAGAAAGAUAGAUAGAGGGAGAGAGAUGGAGAGAGAGAGAAAGAGAGCGAGAGAGAGAGAGAGGGUAUUUAGGGUGAAGGCUGAGACUGGGGCUUGGCAAGUGAAGUGAGGUUUCUUUCUGUACUCUAAGUAGCAGCAUGGUGGAGGGGUGCCACCACAAGGGCUAUAUUACUGGCUCUACCAUAAGAUUCACAAAAUAUACUUUAUGCUUCCACAGUGUGUGCUGGGUAACUGCAGAGGAGUUACUCAUCACAGUUGUAGACACCACACUAUAAUUGUGAGUAUAGGCAGGUUGUCUGGUAAUGCCAGCUUUGCAGAAAUUAUAUAAAACACAAAUGGAGGUUAUGCGAAAUGCAGCGGGUCUGACUGCAUGCGAUCUGGUCCACGUGCACACAUCUGUGAGUAAUGACAUCACACGCAUAACCUGCAAUGCACCUCGCGUCUUGAGAAAGAAAUACGCUGCUCUGGCAUUCAGUCAUUUCACAAGCUAGUCACUGUUCCAAGUUCCCUGAUGGCUGUGCAAGACAACCAGAACACAUCCAACAUUACUCUCAGUCUUAAGAAAUCAAUAAGAAUAUCAUUAUGAUUCUGUGCAAGAUGUCUCCCAAUUCAGUUAGCAGAAGCUACUAACAGGAAGUGACUUCUGAGUGUUGUGGGCAUCUGGUCUGCGGGUAAUUAAUCUGAUCUCUAUCCUUUCAUUUGCGCCUCGUUUUUUCUCCUCACCUCGUACUGACCUGUCCCGCUUCUGGGGCCUGGAUCAAUCCCGAUGCCCCAAAGAAUAAGAUGCCUUACCCAGGAGUGCUCGUCCAGGUCCUCUCUUUGAUUUUUUUGAGGAGGAUGGGGAGGGAGGAAGUGAGCUCUGGUCUCCAUCGACUCAAGAGGUCUUUGCCUUAGCUUGUUGUGUACAAGUUCGGUAACUUCAUUAUGCCACAGACGCAUUAGUGCCAAACGGGAAGGUCACCCUGUAACAAUACAGCCCUUGUUAAUCCCACUCUCUCUUUCUGUCUUUUAACAAAGACAACCACAUACUCAAUCAUAACCAGGUGGUUGCCAAUAACUUAGUGAUAGGCGGUGUUACCCUGGGAGUGAAUGACCCUCUCUAAAAGGCUAUAUCUCUUGUUCUACUCAAUGGAAGAGGUCCAGCUUAUUACAUAUUAGAUUUAUAUCUUUAAUAAAUUACCUGACACCUGACUGCUGGGUUGCUGGAGGGUAUUUAAAUUAAUUUAGUCUGGAAUCCUCUGCUCCUGGGCAGAGUCCAUAGAGUACGGUACAGUACAGUACAGUUGUGAAACAAAUGAUGAAUGAUGAAUGUUAGACGCACAUAACCAGUAAACAUGGCAAAAUCCAUAUAUUUAAUUUCUUAUUUAAACAUCGCAGAUCUCAGAAAAGACAAAUUAAAAUGCAUUCAUAUUUGAUGACAAGAAUUCACACUCAAAAUGCACAAUACUUUUUGUAAUGCAUAAUAUAGACCAAAAAUAUUUUACUUGCACAC